UACGUAGGGUGCGAGCGUUAAUCGGAAUUACUGGGCGUAAAGGGUGCGCAGGCGGUCCUGCAAGUCAGGCGUGAAAUCCCCGGGCUUAACCUGGGAAUGGCACUUGAAACCACGGGACUGGAGUAUGGCAGAGGGAGGUGGAAUUCCACGUGUAGCGGUGAAAUGCGUAGAGAUGUGGAGGAACACCGAUGGCGAAGGCAGCCUCCUGGGCCAAUACUGACGCUCAUGCACGAAAGCGUGGGGAGCAAACAGG
Molecule: ribosomal RNA, 253 nt
Filed under: uncultured bacterium
Lineage: Bacteria
Description: partial 16S ribosomal RNA
Rfam family: Bacterial small subunit ribosomal RNA
Source: RNAcentral